UACGUAGGGGGCAAGCGUUAUCCGGAUUUACUGGGUGUAAAGGGAGCGCAGGCGGCGCGGCAAGUCUGAUGUGAAAGCCCGGGGCUCAACCCCGGGACUGCAUUGGAAACUGUCGCGCUCGAGUGUCGGAGAGGUAAGUGGAAUUCCUAGUGUAGCGGUGAAAUGCUUAGAUAUCACGAAGAACUCCGAUUGCGAAGGCAGCUCACUGGACUGCAACUGACACUGAGGCUCGAAAGUGUGGGUAUCAAACAGG
Molecule: ribosomal RNA, 253 nt
Filed under: uncultured Lachnospiraceae bacterium
Lineage: Bacteria; Bacillati; Bacillota; Clostridia; Lachnospirales; Lachnospiraceae
Description: partial 16S ribosomal RNA
Rfam family: Bacterial small subunit ribosomal RNA
Source: RNAcentral